UGCUUAUUAAGAAUCCUUGUGUAGUUCAUUAUGACUUGUGCUUUUAGCUAAGAUGUCAAAGAACAAUUGUAUGAAAUAUUUAAUCGCCGAAAAUCUCUUAAGACAAGUAGUUUAGAUUUCCCAAAUGGCAAAAGUCGUAGGAAUAUUGUUUGUCAUCAAUACGUAGUACAACUACGUCAGUAGUCUAUUAUAUAAUAAGUUCAACUGUUCAUGCUGUUGGCGGCAAUUUCAAAUUAGAAAAAGAAAUUUUCGUAGCUUUUCAAUUUGGAGGCAGGUGUGCAAAUUAGCGGUGGUCCGAGGUCCGCGACCUUCCACUUUUGCAAGCGGAAUUUCGACUAGGAUAGUUGGUUUCUAGCUACGCCCGACGUAGUCACCUUCCACUUGAAAGAAAAUAAGAAAUUACUUUGCAAACCUUUUCAUGCAAUGUCACCAAAGUCUCCAAUUAAACGAGCUAAAAACUUAUUUUUAUCAUUAUUAUUCAUGACAGCGAUGUUCAUUUUGUUCAACCGCUAGCUUUAUACAGAAAAUCGCCGACAAAUAUUGUAUAAAUUCGAGUAAAAUCGUAUCUGAUUGACAAAAACAACAUUGUAAACACAUAACAAUGGCGGCCGUGAAGACAAAAUUUUACAAUAUCGGAUCCGAUUCCGGAAGCGGAUAAGGAUAAUUCCGGGUUUGGCGAUCAAUUACAAUUCAAUUACAAAUAAAUCAAAGCAGGUGAAAAAAAAAUCUAUCUAUGCAUGGUAAAUGAAUAUAAACACUAGAAUUGUAAACCAAAAGAUAUAUGUAAAAGAAAGAAAAAGCAGAAAAAUAUUUUAUACAGAAACUCAAAAUUACUUUUUGACAAAUUUUAAUUUAAAAAUCCAAUACAACGUGACAGCUGGGAACAGUAUAUCUAACAAUAUACAUGUUCAUGGUCACAGUCUAAAUUUUCUUUAUCAGUGAUAAAUGAUGAUAAUGCAUGUGAGAUGCUUUUAAAGUGUAAACAUAUUACUGCAAUUUCGAAGGGUCAAUUAAAGUAGCUGAAAGUUUCUUUCUUUAUUUUCACAAAUAAUGCAACUAUAUUAUAUAUACCUAAAUGUAAGUAAAUCAUAUGAUAUAUAGGUGGCAUUCUUUGGGCCACUCUACCCCCUCCUGUUUGAUAACUUGGAAACGGUCGAGCUCCCCACCCUAAACCAUAUGAGGGGCAGAUCCAGGAUUUUAGGUUAGGAGGCGCAAACUUAAAUUUUCGCCGAGCAGAGCGAGGCUAAAAAAAAUUUGAGGUAAAAUUAUCGGAAUAUUCUUUAUUAAGCUGAGAACAACCCAUGCUUUGCAAAUUUAAGGGGGUGCAAGCCCGCAACACCCCCUGCCUGAAUCCGCCCCUGCAUAUAUUCAAGUAUAGGACAAUAUAAUAAAUAAAAUGAAAUAUAGGGGGAGUCCCUGGAGCUACCCCACCCCCUCCUGUUUGAGAACUUGGAAACGGUCGAGAUCCACACCCCUUAACCAUAUAUAUUCAUGUUUGUGACAAUAUGAAAAAUCAAAUGAAAUAUAGGAAGAGUCGCUGGGGUCACCCCACCCUUCCUGUUUUAGAAUUUAAAAAUGGUCCAGAUCCCCACCCUAAACCAUAUAUAUUCAUGUAUGGGACAAUAUAACAAAUCAGAUGAAAUAUAGGGGGAGUCCCUUGGGUCACCCCACCCCCUCCUGUUUGAGAAUUUGAAACCCGUUGAGAUCGCCACCCCUUAACCAUAUAUUUAUGUACGGGACAAUAUAACAAUUCAAAUGAAAGAUAGGGGAGUCCCUGAGGUCACCCUAC
RNAcentral lists this long non-coding RNA (1789 nucleotides) under Mytilus galloprovincialis (Mediterranean mussel). The record is from RNAcentral. Lineage: Eukaryota; Metazoa; Mollusca; Bivalvia; Mytilida; Mytilidae.